UCGAUUCCCUUAGUAGCGGCGAGCGAAACGGGAAGAGCCCAAACCAACAAGCUUGCUUGUUGGGGUUGUAGGACACUCUAUACGGAGUUACAAAGGACGACAUUAGACGAAUCAUCUGGAAAGAUGAAUCAAAGAAGGUAAUAAUCCUGUAGUCGAAAAUGUUGUCUCUCUUGAGUGGAUCCUGAGUACGACGGAGCACGUGAAAUUCCGUCGGAAUCUGGGAGGACCAUCUCCUAAGGCUAAAUACUCUCUAGUGACCGAUAGUGAACCAGUACCGUGAGGGAAAGGUGAAAAGCACCCCGGAAGGGGAGUGAAAUAGAACCUGAAACCGUGUGCUUACAAGUAGUCAGAGCCCGUUAAUGGGUGAUGGCGUGCCUUUUGUAGAAUGAACCGGCGAGUUACGAUUUGAUGCAAGGUUAAGCAGUAAAUGUGGAGCCGUAGCGAAAGCGAGUCUGAAUAGGGCGUUUAGUAUUUGGUCGUAGACCCGAAACCAGGUGAUCUACCCUUGGUCAGGUUGAAGUUCAGGUAACACUGAAUGGAGGACCGAACCGACUUACGUUGAAAAGUGAGCGGAUGAACUGAGGGUAGCGGAGAAAUUCCAAUCGAACCUGGAGAUAGCUGGUUCUCUCCGAAAUAGCUUUAGGGCUAGCCUCAAGUGAUGAUUAUUGGAGGUAGAGCACUGUUUGGACGAGGGGCCCCUCUCGGGUUACCGAAUUCAGACAAACUCCGAAUGCCAAUUAAUUUAACUUGGGAGUCAGAACAUGGGUGAUAAGGUCCGUGUUCGAAAGGGAAACAGCCCAGACCACCAGCUAAGGUCCCAAAAUAUAUGUUAAGUGGAAAAGGAUGUGGCGUUGCCCAGACAACUAGGAUGUUGGCUUAGAAGCAGCCAUCAUUUAAAGAGUGCGUAAUAGCUCACUAGUCGAGUGACACUGCGCCGAAAAUGUACCGGGGCUAAACAUAUUACCGAAGCUGUGGAUUGUCCUUUGGACAAUGGUAGGAGAGCGUUCUAAGGGCGUUGAAGCAUGAUCGUAAGGACAUGUGGAGCGCUUAGAAGUGAGAAUGCCGGUGUGAGUAGCGAAAGACGGGUGAGAAUCCCGUCCACCGAUUGACUAAGGUUUCCAGAGGAAGGCUCGUCCGCUCUGGGUUAGUCGGGUCCUAAGCUGAGGCCGACAGGCGUAGGCGAUGGAUAACAGGUUGAUAUUCCUGUACCACCUAUAAUCGUUUUAAUCGAUGGGGGGACGCAGUAGGAUAGGCGAAGCGUGCGAUUGGAUUGCACGUCUAAGCAGUAAGGCUGAGUAUUAGGCAAAUCCGGUACUCGUUAAGGCUGAGCUGUGAUGGGGAGAAGACAUUGUGUCUUCGAGUCGUUGAUUUCACACUGCCGAGAAAAGCCUCUAGAUAGAAAAUAGGUGCCCGUACCGCAAACCGACACAGGUAGUCAAGAUGAGAAUUCUAAGGUGAGCGAGCGAACUCUCGUUAAGGAACUCGGCAAAAUGACCCCGUAACUUCGGGAGAAGGGGUGCUCUUUAGGGUUAACGCCCAGAAGAGCCGCAGUGAAUAGGCCCAAGCGACUGUUUAUCAAAAACACAGGUCUCUGCUAAACCGUAAGGUGAUGUAUAGGGGCUGACGCCUGCCCGGUGCUGGAAGGUUAAGAGGAGUGGUUAGCUUCUGCGAAGCUACGAAUCGAAGCCCCAGUAAACGGCGGCCGUAACUAUAACGGUCCUAAGGUAGCGAAAUUCCUUGUCGGGUAAGUUCCGACCCGCACGAAAGGCGUAACGAUUUGGGCACUGUCUCAACGAGAGACUCGGUGAAAUCAUAGUACCUGUGAAGAUGCAGGUUACCCGCGACAGGACGGAAAGACCCCGUGGAGCUUUACUGUAGCCUGAUAUUGAAAUUCGGCACAGCUUGUACAGGAUAGGUAGGAGCCUUUGAAACGUGAGCGCUAGCUUACGUGGAGGCGCUGGUGGGAUACUACCCUAGCUGUGUUGGUUUUCUAACCCGCACCACUUAUCGUGGUGGGAGACAGUGUCAGGCGGGCAGUUUGACUGGGGCGGUCGCCUCCUAAAAGGUAACGGAGGCGCUCAAAGGUUCCCUCAGAAUGGUUGGAAAUCAUUCAUAGAGUGUAAAGGCAUAAGGGAGCUUGACUGCGAGACCUACAAGUCGAGCAGGGUCGAAAGACGGACUUAGUGAUCCGGUGGUUCCGCAUGGAAGGGCCAUCGCUCAACGGAUAAAAGCUACCCCGGGGAUAACAGGCUUAUCUCCC
This 2260-nucleotide ribosomal RNA is filed under the name Staphylococcus aureus. Its description in RNAcentral is "partial 23S ribosomal RNA". It matches the Rfam family "Bacterial large subunit ribosomal RNA", at positions 231 to 2491 of the family's 2925-position model. Lineage: Bacteria; Bacillati; Bacillota; Bacilli; Caryophanales; Staphylococcaceae. The record is from RNAcentral.